RNAcentral lists this ribosomal RNA (253 nucleotides) under uncultured prokaryote. RNAcentral's name for it is "partial 16S ribosomal RNA". It matches the Rfam family "Bacterial small subunit ribosomal RNA", at positions 524 to 776 of the family's 1533-position model. The record is from RNAcentral.
UACGGAGGAUGCAAGCGUUAUCCGGAAUGAUUGGGCGUAAAGCGUCCGCAGGUGGCAGUGCAAGUCUGCUGUCAAAGACUGGGGCUCAACCCUGGGCAGGCGGUGGAAACUGCACAGCUGGAGUGCGGUAGGGGCAGAGGGAAUUCCCAGUGUAGCGGUGAAAUGCGUAGAGAUUGGGAAGAACACCGGUGGCGAAAGCGCUCUGCUAGGCCGUAACUGACACUGAGGGACGAAAGCUAGGGGAGCGAAUGGG